Molecule: ribosomal RNA, 478 nt
Filed under: uncultured bacterium
Lineage: Bacteria
Description: partial 16S ribosomal RNA
Rfam family: Bacterial small subunit ribosomal RNA
Source: RNAcentral
GAUGAACGCUAGCGGCAGGCCUAACACAUGCAAGUCGAGGGAGAAGCCCUUUCGGGGGCAGAAACCGGCGCACGGGUGCGUAACGCGUAUGCAACCUACCUUUCACAGGGGGAUAGCCCGAAGAAAUUUGGAUUAAUACCCCAUAAUAUUAUUGGAUGGCAUCAUUUGAUAAUUAAAACUGCGGUGGUGAAAGAUGGGCAUGCGUCCUAUUAGCUAGUUGGAGUGGUAACGGCACCCCAAGGCUACGAUAGGUAGGGGUCCUGAGAGGGAGAUCCCCCACACUGGUACUGAGACAGGGACCAGACUCCUACGGGAGGCAGCAGUGAGGAAUAGUGGUCAAUGGUCGGAAGACUGAACCAGCCAUGCCGCGUGCAGGAAGAAUGCCUUAUGGGUUGUAAACUGCUUUUAUAUGGGAAGAAUAAGGCGUACGUGUACGUUGAUGACGGUACCAUAUGAAUAAGCAUCGGCUAACUCCGUG